UAUUCAAGUAAAUGUGCCACCUC
This 23-nucleotide non-coding RNA is filed under the name Rattus norvegicus (Norway rat). The record is from RNAcentral. Lineage: Eukaryota; Metazoa; Chordata; Mammalia; Rodentia; Muridae.